RNAcentral lists this ribosomal RNA (1322 nucleotides) under metagenome. RNAcentral's name for it is "bacterial LSU rRNA". It matches the Rfam family "Bacterial large subunit ribosomal RNA", at positions 1561 to 2925 of the family's 2925-position model. The record is from RNAcentral.
AGUGGAUGGGGAGCAACCUAGUUGUGCGUGUGUAAAGGUAGUGCCAAGAAAAGCGAUGAUCAUGUUGAAAAUCAAUUCCCGGUACCCGAAACCGACACAGGUGGGCAAGUAGAGAAUACUAAGGGGCGCGAGGUAACUCUCUCCAAGGAACUCGGCAAAAUGACCCCGUAACUUAGGGAGAAGGGGUGCCACCGAGAGGUGGUCGCAGUGAAGAGGCCCAGGCGACUGUUUAGCAAAAACAUAGGUCUCUGCAAACUCGAAAGAGGAGGUAUAGGGGCUGACGCCUGCCCAGUGCCGGAAGGUUAAAGAAGUUGGUCAGUUUUAGGAUGAAGCUAGCGACUGAAGCCCCGGUGAACGGCGGCCGUAACUAUAACGGUCCUAAGGUAGCGAAAUUCCUUGUCGGGUAAGUUCCGACCCGCACGAAAGGCGUAACGAUCUGGGCGCUGUCUCGGAGAGAGGCUCGGCGAAAUAGGAUUGUCUGUGAAGAUACGGACUACCUGUAUUUGGACAGAAAGACCCUAUGAAGCUUUACUAUAGCUUGGAAUUGUGUUCGGGCUUCCUGUGCGCAGGAUAGGUGGGAGGCGUAGAAGGUAUUCUUGUGGGGAUACUGGAGCCAACGGUGAGAUACCACUCUCAGGAGGCUAGAAUUCUAACUUAAUUAAGGACAGUUUCAGGUGGGUAGUUUGACUGGGGCGGUCGCCUCCAAAAAGGUAACGGAGGCGUACAAAGGUUCCCUCAGACUGGUUGGAAAUCAGUCGAAGAGUGCAAAGGCAGAAGGGAGCUUGACUGCGAGAAGUACAGUUCGAGCAGGGUGGAAACACGGUCUUAGUGAUCCGACGGUGCUGUGUGGAAGGGCCGUCGCUCAACGGAUAAAAGUUACUCUAGGAUAACAGGCUGAUCUCCCCCAAGAGUUCACAUCGACGGGGAGGUUUGGCACCUCGAUGUCGGCUCAUCGCAACCUGGGGCGGAAGUACGUCCCAAGGGUUGGGCUGUUCGCCCAUUAAAGCGGUACGUGAGCUGGGUUCAGAACGUCGUGAGACAGUUCGGUCCAUAUCCGAUGUAGGCGUGAGAAUAUUGAGAGGAGCCUUCCUUAGUACGAGAGGACCGGGAAGGACGCACCGCUGGUGUACCUGUUAUGAUGCCAAUUGUAAACGCAGGGUAGCCAAGUGCGGAGAGGAUAACCGCUGAAAGCAUCUAAGUGGGAAGCCCACCUCAAGAUGAGUAUUCUGGUGUAAGGUCACGGGAAGACGACCCGUAAAUAGGCACGAGGUGGAAGUGCAGAGAUGUAUGAAGCCGAAGUGUACUAAUAGACCGUCGGCUUG